Molecule: ribosomal RNA, 573 nt
Filed under: uncultured Pseudomonadota bacterium
Lineage: Bacteria; Pseudomonadati; Pseudomonadota
Description: bacterial SSU rRNA
Rfam family: Bacterial small subunit ribosomal RNA
Source: RNAcentral
CCCAGACUCCUACGGGAGGCAGCAGUGGGGAAUUUUGGACAAUGGGCGCAAGCCUGAUCCAGCCAUGCCGCGUGAGUGAAGAAGGCCUUCGGGUUGUAAAGCUCUUUCGGCCGGAACGAAAUCGCGUACGUGAAUAACGUGCGUGGAUGACGGUACUGGAAGAAGAAGCACCGGCUAACUACGUGCCAGCAGCCGCGGUAAUACGUAGGGUGCGAGCGUUAAUCGGAAUUACUGGGCGUAAAGCGUGCGCAGGCGGUUCCGCAAGUCAGAUGUGAAAUCCCCGGGCUUAACCUGGGAACUGCGUUUGAAACUACGGAGCUAGAGUACGGCAGAGGGGGGUGGAAUUCCACGUGUAGCAGUGAAAUGCGUAGAUAUGUGGAGGAACACCGAUGGCGAAGGCAGCCCCCUGGGCCGAUACUGACGCUCAGGCACGAAAGCGUGGGGAGCAAACAGGAUUAGAUACCCUGGUAGUCCACGCCCUAAACUAUGUCAACUAGUUGUCGGGGAAGCAAUUCCUUGGUAACGAAGCUAACGCGUGAAGUUGACCGCCUGGGGAGUACGGUCGCAAGAUUA